GACGAACGCUGGCGGCGUGCUUAACACAUGCAAGUCGAACGGCAACGCAGUGCUUUUGUGGGGUGCCCGGGUGGCGAACGGGUGAGUAACACGUGAGUAACCUGCUCUUGACUUUGGGAUAACUUCAGGAAACUGGGGCUAAUCCCGGAUAGCAUCUCCUGCUGCAUGGAAGGCGUUGGAAAGUUUCGGCGGUUGGGGUUGGACGCGCGGCUUAUCGGCUUGUUGGUUGGGUAGUGGCUUACCAAGCCAUUGGCGGGUCGCCGGCCUGGGAGGGUGACCGGCCACAUUGGGACUGAGAGACGGACCAGACUCCUACGGGAGGCAGCAGUGGGGAAUAUUGCACAAUGGGCGGAAGCCUGAGGCAGCAACGCCGCGUGCGGGAUGACGGCCUGCGGGUUGUAAACCGCUUUCGCCUGUGACGAAGCGGGAGUGACGGUAAUGGGUAAAGAAGCACCGGCUAACUACGUG
This 468-nucleotide ribosomal RNA is filed under the name uncultured bacterium. RNAcentral's name for it is "partial 16S ribosomal RNA". It matches the Rfam family "Bacterial small subunit ribosomal RNA", at positions 28 to 507 of the family's 1533-position model. The record is from RNAcentral.